Molecule: ribosomal RNA, 401 nt
Filed under: uncultured bacterium
Lineage: Bacteria
Description: bacterial SSU rRNA
Rfam family: Bacterial small subunit ribosomal RNA
Source: RNAcentral
CGGGAAUUUUGGGCAAUGGGCGAAAGCCUGACCCAGCAGCGCCGCGUGAGGGAUGAAGUAUUUCGGUAUGUAAACCUCGAAAGAAUGGGAAGAAUAAAUGACGGUACCAUUUAUAAGCUCCGGCUAACUACGUGCCAGCAGCCGCGGUAAUACGUAGGGAGCAAGCGUUGUUCGGAUUUACUGGGCGUAAAGGGCGCGUAGGCGGCGCGGUAAGUCACUUGUGAAAUCUCUGAGCUUAACUCAGAACGGCCAAGUGAUACUGCUGUGCUAGAGUGCGGAAGAGGCAACCGGAAUUCUUGGUGUAGCGGUGAAAUGCGUAGAUAUCAAGAGGAACACCUGAGGCGAAGGCGGGUUGCUGGGCCGACACUGACGCUGAUGCGCGAAAGCCAGGGGAGCAAACG